Molecule: non-coding RNA, 246 nt
Organism: Maylandia zebra (zebra mbuna)
Lineage: Eukaryota; Metazoa; Chordata; Actinopteri; Cichliformes; Cichlidae
Source: RefSeq, a predicted model, not a curated record
GCUCCUUAGAUCACAUGACCUGGAUGACUGAACCUACAGACAUAUUGACCUGGUUUCAUGGUCACAUGACAGACUGACUGAAGAUGAUGAUGGAGGAAGAGGAGGACAGAGCAGAAUCUGCAGGGUCCAGCUGUCCGUCUGUGAGGAGUGACGGGUCCAAAGAUCACCCUCCAGCCUUCAGUGGUGAACCUGGAGCAACGAGGUCAGAGAGCUGUGAUGACUCCUUUACAUGUUUGUGUUUCCUGG